GGCCCCGUCGUCUAAUGGAAGGACAGGUGCCCCUCAAGCAUCUAACGCAAGUUCGAAUCUUGUCGGGGCCGCCA
Molecule: transfer RNA, 74 nt
Filed under: marine sediment metagenome
Description: tRNA-Glu
Rfam family: tRNA
About the family: Transfer RNA (tRNA) molecules are approximately 80 nucleotides in length.
Source: RNAcentral